CAAAAUCGAGUAACCUUAACUAAUACACAAUCGUGACUGUCUAACACAUGACAAUACUAUUCUUCAACAUACUUUACAACUUAACUUCACAUUCUAUCCCAAGCUGAACUUGGAAUUAUCCUUUUCCUGUAACUGGCCGUAUUCGCCUUAUCUGCAAUGUUUUAUCAUGAUAUAGCAAGGGUGAGCAUGAAAGUUGCCCAACAAGUUUAAAAACAAGGUAAAGAUAUAUCAUGAAAGAGUUUGAAUAAUAAGCUGGCAAUCCUUCACAAUGUAUUCGUGAAUUAGCAUGAACAAAAUUUUGACUGAACAAGUAUUGAACAGGAACAAUAAUAUAUCUGGACCAACUGGUAAUGAAGGUGAUCAGCCUUUCAUACCCGACUUAUAUAUAAAAGAUGUACAGAGUACAAUUCAUAAGCAUAUCUGUCUGAAACCACUCUUAAAGAGUUUAAAUAAAAAGAACUUGAAAAACUUGUCUGAACCAUUGAUUACCGUAACACAAUAUAAUAAGCUUCUCCUGAAGACCUAAUAUUAAUAAUAUAGAUCUCCAAUAUUAGAAUAAUAUCAUCACCGUUAUAAAAUAACUUAAACACAUAAUCCUAUCAGUCUAUACAGCAUAUAAAACCUAUAAUAGAUCUUUCGGUUAGUCAUA
RNAcentral lists this long non-coding RNA (649 nucleotides) under Panax ginseng (ginseng). RNAcentral's name for it is "long non-coding RNA (PGIN_LNC017156)". The record is from RNAcentral. Lineage: Eukaryota; Viridiplantae; Streptophyta; Magnoliopsida; Apiales; Araliaceae.